RNAcentral lists this ribosomal RNA (165 nucleotides) under Allium stipitatum. RNAcentral's name for it is "5.8S ribosomal RNA". It matches the Rfam family "5.8S ribosomal RNA". Rfam says of the family: 5.8S ribosomal RNA (5.8S rRNA) is a component of the large subunit of the eukaryotic ribosome. It is transcribed by RNA polymerase I as part of the 45S precursor that also contains 18S and 28S rRNA. Functionally, it is thought that 5.8S rRNA may be involved in ribosome translocation. Lineage: Eukaryota; Viridiplantae; Streptophyta; Magnoliopsida; Asparagales; Amaryllidaceae. The record is from RNAcentral.
UGAAUGACUCUCGACAGUGGAUAUCUUGGCUCUCGUGUUGAUGAAGAACGUAGAAAAUGCGACAUUUGGCGUGAAUUGCAGAAUCCCGCGAACCAUCUAGUCUUUGAAUGCAAGUUGCGCUCGAGACCAUUGGGUCGAGGGCACGUAUGUUUGGGUGUCUAGCAA